RNAcentral lists this ribosomal RNA (235 nucleotides) under uncultured bacterium. Its description in RNAcentral is "partial 16S ribosomal RNA". It matches the Rfam family "Bacterial small subunit ribosomal RNA", at positions 102 to 334 of the family's 1533-position model. The record is from RNAcentral.
CGACGGGUGAGUAACGCGUAUGCAACUUGCCUAUCAGGAGGGGAUAACCCGGCGAAAGUCGGACUAAUACCGCAUGAAGCAGGGGCCCCGCAUGGGGAUAUUUGCUAAAGAUUCAUCGCUGAUAGAUAGGCAUGCGUUCCAUUAGGCAGUUGGCGGGGUAACGGCCCACCAAGCCUUCGAUGGAUAGGGGUUCUGAGAGGAAGGUCCCCCACAUUGGAACUGAGACACGGUCCAA